This 279-nucleotide long non-coding RNA is filed under the name Lepisosteus oculatus (spotted gar). RNAcentral describes it as "lncRNA (ENSLOCG00000022894.1)". Lineage: Eukaryota; Metazoa; Chordata; Actinopteri; Semionotiformes; Lepisosteidae. The record is from RNAcentral.
AGCAGAUCAGCUGGAGAAAUGAAAACCUGCCACACUAAUUGAAUUGAAGAAGAACUUUAUGUAUAUUCCAAAUGUAUUCAGACAAGUGGAGUCAAACCCCAGCUGCUGGUGUAAUGUAAUACAGGACAAGUAUGAGAACCCAGAGCCACACAUCUUCCUAGUUAAGUAAAGGCUUAUUCCAUGCUGAAAACAGAAGAAAAGAAAACACAAAGUUUCAGCUGUGGAGCCUUCUUCAAGUAAGUACUGUAGCUGUGUCAGCUCCACACCCAAACUACUUUU